AACGGCCGUACCAUGCUGAAUAUACCGGUUCUCGUUAGAUCACCGAAGUUCAGCAUCAUUGGGCGCGGUCAGUACUUGGGUGGGUGACCACCUGGGAACACUGCGUGCCGUU
Molecule: ribosomal RNA, 112 nt
Filed under: Caerostris darwini
Lineage: Eukaryota; Metazoa; Arthropoda; Arachnida; Araneae; Araneidae
Source: RNAcentral